This 793-nucleotide ribosomal RNA is filed under the name Xiphinema italiae. RNAcentral describes it as "eukaryotic LSU rRNA". It matches the Rfam family "Eukaryotic large subunit ribosomal RNA", at positions 357 to 919 of the family's 3401-position model. Lineage: Eukaryota; Metazoa; Nematoda; Enoplea; Dorylaimida; Longidoridae. The record is from RNAcentral.
GGGAAAGUUGAAAAGAACUUUGAAGAGAGAGUUAAAAAGGGCGUGAAACCGCUUAGAAUAAAACGGACGGAGCCGUCUGUAGCCCGUCGGAAUCAGUCGGAUCGACGCGUGAAAGCGAGUACGACAUUGAAAAACGGAACGAAAGUCCGGUCGUCUCGUAGUAAAAAAGUAGCGCUCGUUCGAUGCAUUUCCGAAGGGUAAGCACCGCGACCGAUGUCGAAGGCUAGCGAAGCCGUCGGAUUGAGGUCGAGCUCGUUUACUCGAGUCUCGUUACCAGUCCUUCGGUAUGAAUAGAAUUCGUUAGACCCUAGCAUCGAGAAUAAAAACGAACGAACGUCGGUGAACUAUAUACGCUCACCCGUUACGACGGACGUGCGGCCGUUCGAUCGUCGCCUGCUCGCAGGUUACGGUUUGAAUCCGGUUCGUAUCCGAAGUCGUCGGUGACGUUUCGGCGUUCGGGAGUCCGCGGUGUCCGAGUCGGUCACCCGUCCGACCCGUCUUGAAACACGGACCAAGGAGUCUAACGUAAGCGCGAGCUAAUGGGUGGAAAACCCAUAAGCGAAAUAAAAGUAAAGGUCGUUUCGGACGGCCGAGGUACGAUCCCGAAGAACGAAAGUAUCUACGGGCGCAGUACCGUCCCGUCCCGACCGCUUGUCGGUAGGGCGGAGAUAGAGUGCAUACGUUGGGACCCGAAAGAUGGUGAACUAUGCCUGAGCAGAGCGAAGCCAGAGGAAACUCUGGUGGAGGUUCGUAGCGGUUCUGACGUGCAAAUCGAUCGUCAGACUUGGGUAUA